AGUUCGAAAAUUCGAAACGCUCCAUGGCCGGAAACCGUGCCGAACUUCUGUUGCCCGGAAAAACGUUGAAUAUUUCCAGCGGAAAAGCUUCGAGUGCAAAGGGUUAAUUCUGGCAACAGCGACGAGCUAGACUGACGCAAGAAAUCGACGCGAAAGAUUGUAUUUCACGUUCUCAUUGUGCUUCGGCCGAGUUGGAACCGGUCGCGAGCCUGUUCGUGACAACUGUAAGCGAUGAAUGUACCGUCGACGUGUCAGCAUCGCAUUCGUAAAGUUAAUUAAUUAAUCGAUAUAACUGGACUGCGGAUUUUUAUGCGUUCACGGGGUAAUUAGAGAUUAAUAACGUUCGACAACAUCCACCUGACACAGAGAAAUAAACGAUAGCAACAUAAAGUAUCAUGCUUUUUAUAAUUCCCAUUACGAACAAUCAUUUUCUAUCGUUAUUCCAUAUUUAUCCGAUAACAUCCGAAGAGAUCCGAAUAAAAUCCCACGGUCCAGAUAUAACCAUACGUACACUAUGACACAGAAUUUAUUAUUCCUCGUAAGCAGCGAACGUACAUAAUUCAAUUUUUCACUUACAAAAUAUCUAUGCGUAUUUAUAUUCGUAUUCGGUCUGUUUUCUGUUUCCGUUCAGUGUAUCCAUUCGUGUGUCGCUUCGUGUCUGUUAAUUAUUAUACAUAAUCGGAUCUCGCUUUCUCUACGGAGGCGGUUUCACCGCGCGUCCAUUUACGAACGGUACGCGCCACUACCUAAUUAAACUCUACUUAGGACCGUCGGUAAACGAACUUCGAAAAGAAUGGCUGUCCCUUGUUGCCCAUAGCCUGACGGACAUACACGGAAAGUAAUAUCUCAUUUUCCGUUCUCGAUUCGGUGUCCCAUAAACCAGUUUCCAUUGUGUGCAGGACCGACCACGCAAACAGGAACGCCUAAGUGAUUCUGUCGUUCCUAGAUGAACGAGCGAACGGUUUAACCCCUUGCCCUAUGGUUUAUUUUUUAACUGCGAUCGAUGCGAUCAUUUUAUCUUGAAGAUUUAUUCGGAAAGAAAGGAUUUCGAUAUUCUAUGUCGUUUACUUAAGUUUCACGAUUGAUAAUAGAAAAGAAAUAUUCAAGUUAACCUUUUUCAGUCGCUGUUCGACCCAUGAAAAUGAUGAAAUUUAGAAUAUUAAAUUUUUAUAUAAUGCAACACAUCGAAAAUAGUUCUGUUAAUUUAUGCAAGGUAUUUCUUCGUAUUAGUUGUAAAACAUAUUGAUAUUUCAGAAAAUAAUGAACGUUGAGAAAAAUAUUCUCGAGUGCAAAGGGUUAACAAAGAAAUAAAUAAUACUAUGUCUGCCCUGAGGUUUAACGAUUGAUAAAAGAAAAGUAAUAUUCAAGUUAUAUUUAAAAGAAAUAAAUAAUACUUAGAUUUUCCAAAUUCAGUUUGAAAUCUUCGUUACGAGUGCGACACGAUAUUGUAGGUCAAGGGGUUAAUCCUUAGUCCUUGCAUCGUUCGGGUUUGUUCGAUGUGAGGAUCGAAUAAUAAGAUAUAUUUUACACAAUGAGAAUGAUUCCUAUAGGUGUU
This is a non-coding RNA of Nomia melanderi (Alkali bee), 1555 nucleotides long. The record is from RefSeq and is a predicted model, not a curated record. Lineage: Eukaryota; Metazoa; Arthropoda; Insecta; Hymenoptera; Halictidae.